Molecule: ribosomal RNA, 547 nt
Filed under: uncultured bacterium
Lineage: Bacteria
Description: partial 16S ribosomal RNA
Rfam family: Bacterial small subunit ribosomal RNA
Source: RNAcentral
UGGGGAAUAUUGCACAAUGGGCGCAAGCCUGAUGCAGCCAUGCCGCGUGUGUGAAGAAGGCCUUCGGGUUGUAAAGCACUUUCAGCGAGGAGGAAGGGUUCAGUGUUAAUAGCACUGUUCAUUGACGUUACUCGCAGAAGAAGCACCGGCUAACUCCGUGCCAGCAGCCGCGGUAAUACGGAGGGUGCAAGCGUUAAUCGGAAUUACUGGGCGUAAAGCGCACGCAGGCGGUUUGUUAAGUCAGAUGUGAAAUCCCCGCGCUUAACGUGGGAACUGCAUUUGAAACUGGCAAGCUAGAGUCUUGUAGAGGGGGUAGAAUUCCAGGUGUAGCGGUGAAAUGCGUAGAGAUCUGGAGGAAUACCGGUGGCGAAGGCGGCCCCCUGGACAAAAGACUGACGCUCAGGUGCGAAAGCGUGGGGAGCAAAACAGGAUUAGAUACCCUGGUAGUCCACGCUGUAAAACGAUGUCGACUUGGAGGUUGUGCCCUUGAGGCGUGGCUUCCGGAGCUAACGCGUUAAGUCGACCGCCUGGGGGAGUACGGCCGCAA